This is an RNA transcript of Mustela lutreola (European mink), 3294 nucleotides long. It is a transcript of the gene named WD repeat domain 86, with no coding region annotated. The transcript has 8 exons. The record is from RefSeq and is a predicted model, not a curated record. Lineage: Eukaryota; Metazoa; Chordata; Mammalia; Carnivora; Mustelidae.
UGGCUGUAUUGUUCCACACUCGCCGCCCCCAGCGCGCGGCGCCCGGCCGCAGGGCGCUCUGCUUGCCGGGGUCCCCCCGCCGCCGGGCCCCGCGACGAGGCCCGAGCCUUCCAGCGCGCGGGGAGACGCCUCUGCCCGGGGGUCCCGGCUCCGAGCACGGGCCCGCUCAGGGUCAUGGCCGCGGGACGCCGCCGCCGAGAGCCGCCGCGCGGAUGCCGGGGCGCCCCUCCGUAGCGGGGCGCAGCCUCCUCGUCUCCCGCCCGGCCGGCCGCAUGGGGGGCGGAGGGUCGGCCCUGAGGGUCUGCGCCGACCACCGCGGGGGCAUCAACUGGCUCAGCCUGAGCCCGGACGGGCAGCGCCUGCUGACGGGCAGCGAGGACGGCACGGCCCGGCUCUGGAGCACCGCGGACGGCCAGUGCUGCGCGCUCCUGCAAGGGCACGAGAGCUACGUGACCUUCUGCCAGCUGGAGGACGAGGCUGCCUUCACAUGCAGCGCUGACCGCACCAUCAGAAAGUGGGACGUGCGCACCGGGCAGUGUCUGCAGGUCUUCCGAGGACACACGUCCAUCGUGAACAGGAUCCUGGUCGCCAACAACCAGCUCUUCAGCAGCUCCUACGACCGCACAGCCCGAGCCUGGAGCGUGGACAAGGGACAGGUGGCUCAGGAGUUCCGAGGCCACCGCAACUGCGUGCUGACCCUAGCCUACUCCGCGCCCUGGGACCUGCCCGGGGCUCCCUGUGCCGAGGAGGUUGGGGGGCUCCUGGUGACGGGCAGCACGGAUGGCACGGCCAAGGUGUGGCAGGUGGCCAGCGGCUGCUGCCACCAGACGCUGCGGGGCCACACGGGAGCCGUGCUCUGCCUUGUGCUGGACACGCCCAGUCACACCGCCUUCACCGGCAGCACCGACGCCACAAUCCGCGCCUGGGACAUCCUGAGCGGGGAGCAGCUGAGGGUGUUCAGGGAGCACCAGGGCUCUGUCAUCUGUCUGGAGCUGGUGAACCGGCACGUGUACUCGGGCAGCGCCGACAGGACGGUCAAGUGCUGGCUGGCAGACACCGGGGAGUGCGUGCGCACGUUUGCGGCGCACCGGCACAGCGUGAGCGCCCUCAGAUACCACGCGGGCACCUUGUUCACGGGCAGCGGGGACGCCCGCGCGCGCGCCUUCGACGCCCAGUCCGGAGCGCUGCAGAGGGUGUUCCGCGGCCACGCCUUCGUCAUCAACUGCAUCCAGGAUUGUGGUUUUGUACCUUUGCUUUCGUACUGUUAAUUGUUCCUGGACCUGACUCACAUUUCUGGCUAAGGAUGCCAUCCCACACUGUAACCGUGGCUCCACGGGCAAACGAAGCCCCCUCGAACAUGACCUCCAGAAAUCUACCAUGGUGAGGGGAGAGAGAGGAGAGGCAUAGACAGGCCGCCUGGAUCAUGUACAUGGGAGCUACGGCCACCACCACAGCGAAUAAAACUAAGGAAACUGCACUGCCUGGAAAGUAAUGCAAUUAAAAAGGACAAGUUUCUCCUGCUUCUUCCCAGUCUGAAUAGAGAAGUAUAAAGCGCUCCCUGUGAUUAGAACUACCACAGAACAAUCUCUUUCUCUUCCUUCAUACCCAAGAGCUAUAUAGCAUUUUGCAAAUAGGCUUACUAUCGCCUCAAGUUUCACGCCUAUGCCAAGGCUGGGACCCAGGGUCGCCGAGAAUGCACUGAGAUACCUCUCUGCGGCUGCUGAUGUGGGCGGCCGCGUGGUCCACGUUCCCGUCACAGGCCCUGAGGCCAAGCCGGGCUUCCUGGGCAGUAAACCCCAACUGCAACAGAUUGUGAACUUUCGAUGGAUCGAUAUAUAGCUCUUUAAAGAGCUGGCGUGCCUACAGACAAGAGAAAAACACAAGAACCCUGUAACUUUAACAACAUUAGAGCUUAACACAAAGCUAAAACCCGGAAAGAAUAAGCUUGUACCUGAUAUGAAUUAAGGGGCAAAAGUGCACGCCUAAAACGUUUCUAUCUUCACGUACCACUAAGGGCAAAAGUAAAGAUCCCAGAGGACGAGGACAUCCCCCGCGCCAUCAGGGAAGAAAUGGUGCCAGGACUCCUGGGUGCCUGGUCCUUCCGGUCAGUAAGGAAGUAGACCAAAGCCCAAACCGGGGAUGCUUUACACUGCUCUGAGAUUUCCAAGCCGAAUUCUGAUGACUUGUGGAAAUCCCCUUAGAAAAAUCCUUAUUCGAAUCACAGCUCUUGAGCUCUGACUCACUCGUGUCCACGGCUACCGUUCAAAAUGUCUUUUUCUGCAUUUAAAUCUUCCAUGAAACUCUACUGAACACAGUCACCAGCUCUCUCGGCCGGGGUGAUCAUCGACGGGGUUCUAGGGCUGGACAACUUGGGCUUCCAGCUCCACCCCGCCCAGACCGAAGUGACAGCCCAACCUGCAACACGUUCCGCAAUCCCGUGAGAGGACAGCUGGACGAGCGCCACGCACGCUACUGUCGAAUCACCAUUGGCAGCAGUCAGCAUUUGUUAUCAGGAAUAAACUCAAAUGGUAGAAACGGGCUCAAUAAUACACAAAAGAAAUCAGAGUAACAUACUUUUAUGUGGACCAGUCUCUGGUGGUUUUCUCCGUAACAAUUCUUAAAGCAUUUCUGAGCCAAGUUUAAUUUCUUUUCCGCGUCGUCAAGGCAUUCCAGCUGCUCCAGGCGGAAGUAGCACCACACGAUGUCCAGCUGCAGCACGGCGUAGUUGUCCACGGUGUCCAGCAGCUCCCUGCAACACUCGCUGCGGGCGCGAGAGGAAAGGACGUCACAGAGGAGGAGCGUUAAAGACCUUUUUGUGGAUCGCUGCAAGUCUUCCCCAGGUUCUGCUGUUAUUCCCAAAGACCGACUGCUCCAGAGCACAGACCCCAGUGUCUACGAAGGGAGCCGUAUUCAUCAUCCGAAUUCUCCCAAUGGGUAAAAGGCAGUUAGGGCUCAGGAAUAAUGGUUUAACACACACACACACCCUUGCUACGCUGGGAGCGAGGUUCAGCAGGGAGUGGAAAACUGACGUCACUGCAUCAGCAAACAUGAGGUCAGCAAACUUGAGGCGGCCAUGGCUUAAAGCAAAGGUUUCCAGCCCUGACUGUGAAUCAGAAUGAGCUGCGAGUGAGGAAUUUUCUUCUUUCUUUGGUCCCCACUGGUGCUGGGACCCCAUCUACAUCAAACUGUAACAGAAGCCUCUGGAGACAGCGCCUGGAUGUUUUGUUCUGGAAAUCUCCCCAGGUGACUCUAAGGUACAGCCAAAGUGGGGAACUAGUGCUUUAAAGACCCCCC